UGGAGUCCAUGUGUCCAUCGCCCUAUUGCUAGAGACAGAUUCAUUUUCAUCAAAGGAAAUAAGCUUGACAAAAUGGUCAUUGAAGGCAAUGUCAGCCCCAGCACCAAAAGUGGAAGAGUGGGAGGGACGCCUGGGUGGUUCAGUCAGUUAAGCAUCCCACUUUGGCUCAGGUCUUGAUCUCGCCGUCUGUGAGUUUGAGCCCGGCGUCGGGCUCCGUGCUGACAGCUCAGAGCCUGGAGCCUGCUUCAGAUUCUGUGUCUCCCUCUCUCUCUGCCCCUCCUCCACUCAUGCUCUGUCUCUGUCUCUCAAAAAUAAAUACACAUUAAAAGUUUUUGAAAACCACAUUAAAUAAAGGUGGAAGAGUGGGUGUCACCGUUAAAGCUGCAGGAUACUGGUCCGUAGUGUAGCCCAGGAUGCACUUGAGAGGGCCCUCUGAUGCCUGCUUCACCGUCUUUUUGAUGUUAUCCUAUUUG
Molecule: long non-coding RNA, 473 nt
Filed under: Lynx pardinus (Iberian lynx)
Lineage: Eukaryota; Metazoa; Chordata; Mammalia; Carnivora; Felidae
Source: RNAcentral